GUAGGGAAUAUUGCGCAAUGGACGAAAGUCUGACGCAGCGACGCCGCGUGAGUGAUGAAGGCCUUAGGGUCGUAAAGCUCUGUUGAAUGGGAAGAAAAAAAUGACGGUACCAUUCGAGGAAGGACCGGCUAACUUCGUGCCAGCAGCCGCGGUAAUACGAGGGGUCCUAGCGUUGUUCGGAAUCAUUGGGCGUAAAGGGUGUGUAGGUGGCCAUGUAAGUCAGGUGUGAAAGCCCCGGGCUCAACCCGGGAAGUGCACUUGAUACUGCGUGGCUUGAGUACCGAAGAGGGUAGUGGAAUUCCAGGUGUAGUGGUGAAAUACGUAGAUAUCUAGAGGAACACCGGUGGCGAAGGCGGCUACCUGGUCGAGUACUGACACUGAGACACGAAAGCAUGGGGAUCAAACAGGAUUAGAAACCCGAGUAGUCC
This 428-nucleotide ribosomal RNA is filed under the name uncultured bacterium. RNAcentral's name for it is "partial 16S ribosomal RNA". It matches the Rfam family "Bacterial small subunit ribosomal RNA", at positions 354 to 796 of the family's 1533-position model. The record is from RNAcentral.